This 600-nucleotide ribosomal RNA is filed under the name uncultured Ascomycota. RNAcentral's name for it is "eukaryotic LSU rRNA". The stretch from base 238 to 391 matches the Rfam family "5.8S ribosomal RNA". The record is from RNAcentral. Lineage: Eukaryota; Fungi; Ascomycota.
UCUUGGUCAUUUAGAGGAAGUAAAAGUCGUAACAAGGUCUCCGUAGGUGAACCUGCGGAGGGAUCAUUACCGAGUUCAUGCCCUUACGGGUAGACCUCCCACCCUAUGUUAUAUUACCUUUGUUGCUUUGGCGGGCCGCCCGGCUUCGGCCAGGCUACCGGCUCCAGCUGGUAAGCGCUCGCCAGAGGACCCCCAACUCUGAAUAUCAGUGUCGUCCGAGUACUAUAAAAUAGUUAAAACUUUCAACAACGGAUCUCUUGGUUCUGGCAUCGAUGAAGAACGCAGCGAAAUGCGAUAAGUAAUGUGAAUUGCAGAAUUCAGUGAAUCAUCGAAUCUUUGAACGCACAUUGCGCCCCUUGGUAUUCCGAGGGGCAUGCCUGUUCGAGCGUCAUUACAACCCUCAAGCACUGCUUGGUAUUGGGCUCCGCUGGCUCCAGCGGGCCUUAAAAUCAGUGGCGGCGCCGUUUGGGCUCUGAGCGUAGUAAAUAUCCUCGCUAUAGAGACCAGGCGGUUCUUGUCAUCAACCCCCAACUUUCUAAGUUUGACCUCGGAUCAGGUAGGGAUACCCGCUGAACUUAAGCAUAUCAAUAAGCGGAGGAA